Molecule: ribosomal RNA, 487 nt
Filed under: uncultured bacterium
Lineage: Bacteria
Description: bacterial SSU rRNA
Rfam family: Bacterial small subunit ribosomal RNA
Source: RNAcentral
CUACGUGCCAGCAGCCGCGGUAAUACGUAGGGUGCGAGCGUUAAUCGGAAUUACUGGGCGUAAAGCGAGCGCAGACGGUUACUUAAGCAGGAUGUGAAAUCCCCGGGCUCAACCUGGGAACUGCGUUYUGAACUGGGUGACUAGAGUGUGUCAGAGGGAGGUAGAAUUCCACGUGUAGCAGUGAAAUGCGUAGAGAUGUGGAGGAAUACCGAUGGCGAAGGCAGCCUCCUGGGAUAACACUGACGUUCAUGCUCGAAAGCGUGGGUAGCAAACAGGAUUAGAUACCCUGGUAGUCCACGCCCUAAACGAUGUCAAUUAGCUGUUGGGCAACUUGAUUGCUUAGUAGCGUAGCUAACGCGUGAAAUUGACCGCCUGGGGAGUACGGUCGCAAGAUUAAAACUCAAAGGAAUUGACGGGGACCCGCACAAGCGGUGGAGUAUGUGGUUUAAUUCGACGCAACGCGAAGAACCUUACCAGGUCUUGACAU